AGUUUUUGUAUCGGAGUACUUUAAUAAACUCCACUCAAGACGGGUCACUUAAAUAAAUUUGCCGGCGUCAUAAAAUUGACACGUUUCCAUCGUAUUAGUAAACAGAAAGUUAACUUCUGACCUUACUUUCUUAUAAGUUCAAUUUAGACAGAGUUAUUAUUAAUAUAUUUAACCGGAAAUUCACUUCUCUGAAUUUAAAAUUACUUUCUGUUUUUCUGGGAUAACUCGAAAUAAAAUUUAUCAAAAUUUGAUAAUAUCUAAACCAACCCCGCUGUUUCCUUAUAUAUUUAGAAGGAAAUAAAAUAUCUUUAAAGAAGAAUAUUUACAAAAUAUUUAUAUUUUAUUCCUUAGUCAAUGGCAUCCCUAUUGUCUGAUUAAAAAAAUCUCUCAAGUAUAAUUAUUUUUUCAAAUCAAGGAGCUACAACCGAAUUUUACAGGAUUUCCACAUCGUCGAAAAUUCCCAACCAAACAAGUUGGUAAUUUUAAAAUGCACUAGACUCAAGGUCUGUCCUAGCGGACAAAUAGUUUUU
RNAcentral lists this ribosomal RNA (530 nucleotides) under Galapagomystides patricki. RNAcentral's name for it is "Galapagomystides sp. p KAP-2021 partial large subunit ribosomal RNA". Lineage: Eukaryota; Metazoa; Annelida; Polychaeta; Phyllodocida; Phyllodocidae. The record is from RNAcentral.